GCCCCGGCUAACUACGUGCCAGCAGCCGCGGUAAUACGUAGGGGGCUAGCGUUAUCCGGAAUUACUGGGCGUAAAGGGUGCGUAGGCGGUCUUUCAAGCCAGAAGUGAAAGGCUACGGCUCAACCGUAGUAAGCUUUUGGAACUGUAGGACUUGAGUGCAGGAGAGGAGAGUGGAAUUCCUAGUGUAGCGGUGAAAUGCGUAGAUAUUAGGAGGAACACCAGUAGCGAAGGCGGCUCUCUGGACUGUAACUGACGCUGAGGCACGAAAGCGUGGGGAGCAAACAGGAUUAGAUACCCUGGUAGUCCACGCCGUAAACGAUGAGUACUAGGUGUCGGGGGUUACCCCCCUCGGUGCCGCAGCUAACGCAUUAAGUACUCCGCCUGGGAAGUACGCUCGCA
RNAcentral lists this ribosomal RNA (399 nucleotides) under uncultured bacterium. RNAcentral's name for it is "bacterial SSU rRNA". It matches the Rfam family "Bacterial small subunit ribosomal RNA", at positions 490 to 890 of the family's 1533-position model. The record is from RNAcentral.